RNAcentral lists this ribosomal RNA (253 nucleotides) under uncultured bacterium. RNAcentral describes it as "partial 16S ribosomal RNA". It matches the Rfam family "Bacterial small subunit ribosomal RNA", at positions 524 to 776 of the family's 1533-position model. The record is from RNAcentral.
UACGUAGGUGGCGAGCGUUGUCCGGAUUUAUUGGGCGUAAAGCGCGCGCAGGCGGUGCGGUAAGUCUGUCGUGAAAUCUCCCGGCUCAACUGGGAGGGUGCGGUGGAGACUGCCGGACUGGAGGCACUCAGAGGCCGGUGGAAUUCCCGGUGUAGUGGUGAAAUGCGUAGAGAUCGGGAGGAACACCAGUGGCGAAGGCGGCCGGCUGGGGGAGCCCUGACGCUGAGGCGCGAGAGCGUGGGGAGCGAGCCGG